RNAcentral lists this ribosomal RNA (426 nucleotides) under uncultured bacterium. Its description in RNAcentral is "bacterial SSU rRNA". It matches the Rfam family "Bacterial small subunit ribosomal RNA", at positions 354 to 796 of the family's 1533-position model. The record is from RNAcentral.
GCAGGGAAUAUUGCGCAAUGGGCGAAAGCCUGACGCAGCAACGCCGCGUGGGGGAAGAAGGCCUUCGGGUUGUAAACCCCUUUUCUCGGGGAAGAAUACUGACGGUACUCGAGGAAUAAGCCUCGGCCAACUACGUGCCAGCAGCCGCGGUAAGACGUAGGAGGCGAGCGUUAUCCGGAUUUAUUGGGCGUAAAGGGCGUGUAGGCGGCCUUUCAAGUCUAUGGUGAAAUCUCCCGGCUUAACUGGGAGGGUGCCAGAGAUACUGGAGGGCUUGAGGGCAGCAGAGGGGGGUGGAAUUCCCGGUGUAGUGGUGAAAUACGUAGAUAUCGGGAGGAACACCAGUGGCGAAGGCGACCCCCUGGGCUGUUCCUGACGCUGAGGCGCGAAAGCGUGGGGAGCAAACAGGAUUAGAUACCCGAGUAGUCC